UUUCCGUAGGUGAACCUGCGGAAGGAUCAUUAAAAAAUAUCACAUUUUGUAUGUGAUUUAGUAAUCAUCCUACCCUUUGUGAAUUUGUUUUGUCUUGAAAUUUAUGUUGUCUAUCCCUGGAUAUGAAAGAAAAGUCGUAAGAUUUUUUUUUUCAUUCUAGGGAAUAGGCUUUCAUAGACAUUUUUUUAAAUUAAACUUUUUGUAUUCAUCUGUCUAAAAUUUAUUUUUAAUAAUUUAAAAACAACUUUUGACAAUGGAUCUCUUCGUUCUCGCAACGAUGAAGAACGCAGCAAAAUGCGAUAAGUAAUGUGAAUUGCAGAAUACGUGAAUCAUCAAAUUUUCGAACGCAUAUUGCACUUUUUUAGUUUACUAAAAAAGUAUGUCUGUUUGAGUAUCAGUAAAAUAUUCUCAUAAAAACUAUUGUUUUUAUGGUUAUGAGUGUUUUACAACGAUAACAAGUUGUUUCACUUUAAAUUGAUUUUUUUAAUAAGCCAAUCUGGUUUUAUUUUUAAAAUUGGAUAAAAUUUUCCCGUAAAAAGGAAUAAACUUUUCAGUUUUAAAGUUAAAACUUAAAUUGACCUACAAAAAAGGAAAUUUAAUUAUAAAACUAACUUGAUCUCAAAUCGGAUAAGAGUACCCGCUGAACUUAAGCAUAUCAAUAAGCGGAGGAAAAGAAACUAACAAGGAUUCCCUUAGUAACGGCGAGUGAAGCGGGAAGAGCUCAAAUUUGAAAUCUUCAAGGUUCUACCUUGACGAAUUGUAGUUUAAAGAAGUGUUUUCUGUUAGUGGAGUGGCAAAAGUUCUUUGGAAUAGGACAUCAUAGAGGGUGAGAAUCCCGUAUUUGGUCAUUCCUUCUAGCUUUGUGAUACACUUUCAAAGAGUCGGAUUGUUUGGGAAUGCAGUCCAAAAUGGGUGGUAAAUUUCAUCUAAAGCUAAAUAUUGGCGAGAGACCGAUAGCGAACAAGUACCGUGAGGGAAAGAUGAAAAGAACUUUGAAAAGAGAGUUAAACAGUACGUGAAAUUGUCAAAAGGGAAGCGUUUGACACCAGUGUUGUUUUUCCGAAAAUCAAUUAUAGAUGUUUUGUUUCUGAGGAGUGAUGACUUCAUCGGCUUCCUUCUCUCUUCACGAAACUUUUGUAAUGCACUUUUCGGUUAACAAGUCAACAUCAAUUUCUUUUGUUGUAAAAGAGUAUUCGGAAGGUGGCUUUCUUUUCGGAGAAAGUGUUUAUAGCCCUAUACUUCUACAAUCGGAGAGAUUGAGGUCUGCAGCGUAGAUCCUUCGGGGUUAGAUACACUUGUGCUAAGUUAUAGCUUUUCAUAGACAACUUGUUGACUAUGUUUAGUCUUGUAGCUUACUCGCUUGUGCUAUUU
This 1371-nucleotide unclassified non-coding RNA is filed under the name uncultured Neocallimastigales. RNAcentral describes it as "partial contains small subunit ribosomal RNA, internal transcribed spacer 1, 5.8S ribosomal RNA, internal transcribed spacer 2, and large subunit ribosomal RNA". The stretch from base 614 to 1371 matches the Rfam family "Eukaryotic large subunit ribosomal RNA", at positions 1 to 611 of the family's 3401-position model. Lineage: Eukaryota; Fungi; Neocallimastigomycota; Neocallimastigomycetes; Neocallimastigales. The record is from RNAcentral.